ACGGUUCACAGCUGUACAUAUCUGUGGUGGUUUCAUCUGAUGGAGAAGAAAAUCAUGACGUCAGUGAUUUUCAGGUCGGGAGGCCGGAGCUGAAGAAAGAGGCCCGAGUUCCCAAUUGAAAUUCCGAGUUGGAUGACCGUUCAAAUCAAUUGUUUUCAGUCGGAGCUCGUUUUUUYCCGAGGUCCCAGUUGUUUUAACGCACUGAAGUCGGAAGUCUGAGAUUUCCGAGUUCUCAGUUGUUUGAACGCGGCAUYAGUCUAUUGAAAAAUCUGAAGUUUUGACGUCACACCACAAUUUUCCCCAGGCGGAUUAAAGAUGGCGCCGCAUCAUGUUCUAAGGUGCUGUCAGCGGAGUUUAUCUUGGAUACCUGUUAUUUUCAUAAACCUUGUCGUUGGCUGGUCUUAUUAUGCAUACGUCGUUGAACUCUGUAUCUUAACAAUCCCAAAUAAUGCAGAAAAAAUAUCAUACCUAGUUGUCUUUCACCUGUUCUUCAUUAUGUUCAUCUGGUCCUACUGGAAGACUAUCUGCAGCAGGCCCGCCAACCCCUCU
Non-coding RNA from Salvelinus sp. IW2-2015, 549 nucleotides. Lineage: Eukaryota; Metazoa; Chordata; Actinopteri; Salmoniformes; Salmonidae. The record is from RefSeq and is a predicted model, not a curated record.